This is a long non-coding RNA of Halichondria panicea, 731 nucleotides long. RefSeq lists it as uncharacterized. Lineage: Eukaryota; Metazoa; Porifera; Demospongiae; Suberitida; Halichondriidae. The transcript is spliced from 2 exons. The record is from RefSeq and is a predicted model, not a curated record.
GAGAAUAUCAAUUUUACAAACUACUUUACACUACCUAUCCGGCCCUCACGUCACUCUAUGUUGCGUUGUGUCCACUCAAGAAUUAAUGCAUUCAGGCACUCCUUUUUACCAGAUUACCAUUCAUCUGGAAUAAACUACCAGAAAAGGUCUCAAAUGCUGCCUCGUACCAUAGAUAGUAAAGGAAAGGGAUUGGAAACGCAUCACGUGCACCAAUGUUUUCAACAGAGUCUGGAUGGCACAUCCACUUACGAUUUUUAAUGUUAUUCAUUGCUAGUCAAAAGGUCAUUUGCUGUUUUUAAAGCUAUAUUUUUGGACCUCAAGAUCAUUCUUUCAGCGUUCAAGCCAAUUAAGAUGUGAAGCAAAAAGCUCGUAAGAAAAAAUUCAAGUCAUCCUCGACCUCAACCAGAUCCUACCCUCUCUCGACAAAACAAAAGCAUCUAGGAAGAUAUAAAUUCAACCAUAAGACACUUAGUAACCUCACCUGUCACCUCAUCAUUAAGUACAUAUAUACAUGUUUAGUUUUGCUUGUGUGUAUACACUGUAGUUUUGUAACCACUUACUUUAAACAUUAUAUAAUUUAUUGACAUCCCUUAGAGUACAGUAUUACACUUAUGAUUAGUGUCAAGACGGAGUUUAGUAAGAUAAUAAAUACAUUGUUGUCGUGUUUAUAAUUAUGUAACUAAAAUAGAUCUACUGAUAUGGAUGCCAUCAUGAAGCCCUUAUCCUUUAAC